Monodelphis domestica (gray short-tailed opossum) is the source of this 1383-nucleotide long non-coding RNA. Lineage: Eukaryota; Metazoa; Chordata; Mammalia; Didelphimorphia; Didelphidae. The record is from Ensembl.
UUUUUGCAUUUUGGUUUAUAACUUCUCUCAGUUUUCUCUCCAACCUCUACCACACAUUGUAAUUGAGGAAGCUAAGUGAUGUAGUGGAUAGAGUGCUGGACUUAGAGUCUGAAAGUCCUGAGUUUGAUUCCUACCUCAGACAUUUACUAACUGUAUGACCUUGGGUGGAAGCGGAAGGCUGCAGAAUGCUGAGUGGAGAGGCUGGAGAGGGGGAAGAGAGCCCAAUAUUAUAUGACUUCAAAGGGGUUUUUUACUCAGGAGAUGUUUAUAAAACAUGUGGAAUAAUUGACUUCCUGCCUUCGCUUCCCCAUAUUCUUACAUGGAAGAAAAGGAAUUUUUUACAUAGGGAUAUUGCAUCCCCAAAUAGACUAGAAGCUCCUUGAAGCCUGAAAUACAUUUUUAGUGAACGGCGAUGAAGACAAAGGAAAAUCCAAAAGAGAGGAAAUAUAAAUGGAAAUAGAGUGGAGAUGUAAGGUUUAAAUGGGAAGAAAAUAUGUUUGCUUGGGCUAGCAGGAAAUAAUAGAGCAGGAUUAUAUUCAGGGGUUUUAAAAUUUCUAACCCUGGUGAUUCUAUUUUUACUUUUUGGCAUUGUGGAAAAGUCACUAUUCCUAGAAAUAGCAUAAUUUCCACUUGAUUUGUUGCCCACAUAGGCCAUGUAUAUGUCAACAAAGAUUAUACAAACAUGUAUUGUUAUAUGGAGUCACUGAUAUAUAAUUGCAAUUUUGCCCACCUCUCUCUAAGGGAGAUUUUGAUUUGUGUUGAAGGGAGCUGAAGGAAUUAAGAAAGUCUCUUUUCCAAAGCUCUUGCACUAAUGUUUCUCACCAUUUUUUCCCACCACUUAGGAAAGUCUCAUGCGAAAUGCUUUAAAUUUGACUGGAAACUUAGUUUAUAGAUAGUGCUUUAUAGUCUGUGAUGUACUUAAUAUAUAUCAUAUCAUUUGAGCCUCAUAAAAGUCUAUGAAGUUAUUAUUGUUCUCAUUUCACAGAUGAGUAAACUUAGGCCAACUUCAUAUUUAGCUAUUUUGAAAGAUAUAAAACUUUCUUUUCUAUCUUUAACUUUCUUGCUAGAAGUAGGAUCUCUAAGUUAAGGGGAUGCUAGGUUACCUUUUCAGUAUACAAAUUGCCUACCUUCCAGAACAAGCCAUUUAUAGUUCCAUUGAUAGGAUACUAGUCAAUCAAUCAAGUACUAUAUUCUAAAUACUGUGCUAUUAGUGUACCUGUGUUGCUAAAAUUCUUCCAGUUUUGACUAUUUCAUUUCUUGUCAUCUUUGUGAAUUUGAUGAAUGUGAAGUAAAACCAUGGAAUUGUUUUGAUUCAUAUUUCUUUUAAAAUAAUCUUUCAAGUGGUUAAUACUUUGCAAUUCUUUUGAGAACUAUUUGUUCACA